GGGUGAGUAACGCGUAAGGAACUUGCCUCUUGGUCUGGGACAACUGUUGGAAACGACAGCUAAUACCGGAUAUUAUGAGAUUCUCGCAUGAGAAACUUAUGAAAGCUAUAUGCGCCAAGAGAGAGCCUUGCGUUCCAUUAGCUAGUUGGUGGGGUAACGGCCCACCAAGGCGACGAUGGAUAGCCGGCCUGAGAGGGUGAACGGCCACAAGGGGACUGAGACACGGCCCUUACUCCUACGGGAGGCAGCAGUGGGGAAUAUUGGACAAUGGGCCACAAGCCUGAUCCAGCAAUUCUGUGUGCACGAUGAAGGUCUUCGGAUUGUAAAGUGCUUUCAGUUGGGAAGAAGAAAGUGACGGUACCAACAGAAGAAGCGACGGCUAAAUACGUGCCAGCAGCCGCGGUAAUACGUAUGUCGCAAGCGUUAUCCGGAUUUAUUGGGCGUAAAGCGCGUCUAGGCGGAAAAAUAAGUCUGAUGUUAAAAUGCGGGGCUCAACUCCGUAUUGCGUUGGAAACUGUUUUUCUAGAGUACUGGAGAGGUGGGCGGAACUACAAGUGUAGAGGUGAAAUUCGUAGAUAUUUGUAGGAAUGCCGAUGGAGAAGUCAGCUCACUGGACAGA
Molecule: ribosomal RNA, 619 nt
Filed under: uncultured bacterium
Lineage: Bacteria
Description: bacterial SSU rRNA
Rfam family: Bacterial small subunit ribosomal RNA
Source: RNAcentral